UACGUAGGGGGCUAGCGUUGUCCGGAAUCAUUGGGCGUAAAGCGCGUGUAGGCGGUCCGGUAAGUCCGCUGUGAAAGUCGGGGGCUCAACCCUCGGAUGCCGGUGGAUACUGUCGGGCUUGAGUACGGAAGAGGCGAGUGGAAUUCCUGGUGUAGCGGUGAAAUGCGCAGAUAUCAGGAGGAACACCAAUUGCGAAGGCAGCUCGCUGGGACGGUACUGACGCUGAGACGCGAAAGCGUGGGGAGCUAACAGG
This 253-nucleotide ribosomal RNA is filed under the name uncultured bacterium. RNAcentral describes it as "partial 16S ribosomal RNA". It matches the Rfam family "Bacterial small subunit ribosomal RNA", at positions 524 to 776 of the family's 1533-position model. The record is from RNAcentral.